RNAcentral lists this ribosomal RNA (253 nucleotides) under uncultured bacterium. Its description in RNAcentral is "partial 16S ribosomal RNA". It matches the Rfam family "Bacterial small subunit ribosomal RNA", at positions 524 to 776 of the family's 1533-position model. The record is from RNAcentral.
GACGUAGGGCGCAAGCGUUGUUCGGAAUUACUGGGCGUAAAGGGCUCGUAGGCGGCCAACUAAGUCAGACGUGAAAUCCCUCGGCUUAACCGGGGAACUGCGUCUGAUACUGGAUGGCUUGAGAUUGGGAGAGGGAUGCGGAAUUCCAGGUGUAGCGGUGAAAUGCGUAGAUAUCUGGAGGAACACCGGUGGCGAAGGCGGCAUCCUGGACCAUUACUGACACUGAAAAGCGAAAGCCAGGGGAGCAAACGGG